RNAcentral lists this ribosomal RNA (250 nucleotides) under uncultured bacterium. Its description in RNAcentral is "partial 16S ribosomal RNA". It matches the Rfam family "Bacterial small subunit ribosomal RNA", at positions 355 to 619 of the family's 1533-position model. The record is from RNAcentral.
UAGGGAAUAUUGCACAAUGGAGGAAACUCUGAUGCAGCGACGCCGCGUGAGUGAUGAAGGACUUCGGUUCGUAAAGCUCUGUUGCAGGGGAAAAGGAAAGUGAUGGUACUCUGCGAGAAAGGGUCGGCUAACUUCGUGCCAGCAGCCGCGGUAAGACGAGGGACCCUAGCGUUGUUCGGAAUCAUUGGGCGUAAAGCGGGUGUAGGUGGCUUUGUAAGUCAGGUGUGAAAGCCCGGGGCUCAACCCCGGA